UUGGUAAGGGGGAUGGACGAGUUUGGCUAUACAUAGCCUUAGCACGCUCAUUCUUUUUCUAACCAAAAGGUAAAUCAAAAGUCACGAUUUAGAGUCCCCCCAUACCCAUCUUGCUUGCAUUCCUCUAGGGCUCAUGCAUUUCAUAUUGCACAUGACGCUUAUCUUACACAUUCUCACUCUACCGCUAGCACUUUAUAUACGAUCACGUGCACACACGCACUUCAUGCUAUCACUUUACUCACCUUACUUUGCACAUCCAUUUGCGCACUUCCACUUACAUACUAUUGUUUUUUUUAUUACUUUUUCACUUCACACAAACUCAUAUUUUCACAUUGCAUACAUUCAUUCCACUCAUUUUUACAUCAUUAGCAUUAUUCGUGACCUCUCCAAAGAGUCAUUAUUGGGCAUCACUAUUAAUGUGAUUGGCACCAUUCAGACUUUGAAGAGAAAUUUUGCCCCGAUACCCUCCUAAGUCUAGGGUUUGCAUUCAUAUAGUACAUUCAAAUGUGAUAAAUCUUUAGGUUAAAACAAGAAAAUCUUUGACUAAAUCACGCAACUAGCCUUGGCU
Molecule: long non-coding RNA, 568 nt
Filed under: Coffea arabica (coffee)
Lineage: Eukaryota; Viridiplantae; Streptophyta; Magnoliopsida; Gentianales; Rubiaceae
Description: long non-coding RNA (CARA_LNC006853)
Source: RNAcentral